ACAAAAUUAAAACCGGCUAUUUUUUUCGCACUUUUGUUUCUUAUUAUUUUCCUUUUCCAUCCUCUCUUUUAUUUGUUUCCCUUCU
RNAcentral lists this non-coding RNA (85 nucleotides) under Protocruzia adhaerens. The record is from RNAcentral. Lineage: Eukaryota; Ciliophora; Spirotrichea.